RNAcentral lists this unclassified non-coding RNA (348 nucleotides) under soil metagenome. RNAcentral's name for it is "partial contains 5.8S ribosomal RNA, internal transcribed spacer 2, and large subunit ribosomal RNA". The stretch from base 1 to 120 matches the Rfam family "5.8S ribosomal RNA", at positions 35 to 154 of the family's 154-position model. The record is from RNAcentral.
GAUGAAGAACGUAGCAAAAUGCGAUAAGUAAUGUGAAUUGCAGAAUUCAGUGAAUCAUCGAAUCUUUGAACGCACAUUGCGCCCGCUGGUAUUCCGGCGGGCAUGCCUGUUCGAGCGUCAUUUCAACCCUCAAGCCCCCGGGUUUGGUGUUGAGGAUCGGCUCUGCCCUUCUGGGCGGUGCCGCCCCCGAAAUACAUUGGCGGUCUCGCUGCAGCCUCCAUUGCGUAGUAGCUAACACCUCGCAACUGGAACGCGGCGCGGCCAUGCCGUAAAACCCCAACUUCUGAAUGUUGACCUCGGAUCAGGUAGGAAUACCCGCUGAACUUAAGCAUAUCAAUAAGCGGAGGA